UACUCUGAGUAGAUAUCAGUCAAUUUAGCUAAUUUCUUUUCCUUUCUUUUCAUUUGCGUUAACAGAUGAAAGUAGAGAGAUCUGCAGUACUGAUGAAAAUUCACUAAACAAUUUGCUAGGAAUUGUGAACACUAGGUUAAAUAGGAACCACAAUAAAAGGCAUUUAGCUUUGAAAUUGUCCUUGGUUUCCACAGUUCAAGGUCUAAGCGAAGGAGACGAUAAAAAAUUUCACAGAUAUAACAAAAGUAUUGAUUUUCUCAUCAACUAGUUGUAUAUGUCCUGG
RNAcentral lists this long non-coding RNA (283 nucleotides) under Struthio camelus australis. RNAcentral's name for it is "lncRNA (ENSSCUG00000002473.1)". The record is from RNAcentral. Lineage: Eukaryota; Metazoa; Chordata; Aves; Struthioniformes; Struthionidae.